This 76-nucleotide transfer RNA is filed under the name Acidobacteriota bacterium. RNAcentral's name for it is "tRNA-Thr". It matches the Rfam family "tRNA". From Rfam's summary of the family: Transfer RNA (tRNA) molecules are approximately 80 nucleotides in length. Lineage: Bacteria; Pseudomonadati; Acidobacteriota. The record is from RNAcentral. RNAcentral also lists the same sequence under 1 other name.
GCCGAUGUAGCUCAGGUGGUAGAGCGCGUCCUUGGUAAGGACGAGGUCACCGGUUCGAGCCCGGUCAUCGGCUCCA